UAUCAUUUCUUUCAAGUUGCCCACAGUGUC
This 30-nucleotide non-coding RNA is filed under the name Mus musculus (house mouse). Lineage: Eukaryota; Metazoa; Chordata; Mammalia; Rodentia; Muridae. The record is from RNAcentral.